AGUUCGGACUGUAGUCUGCAACCCGACUACACGAAGCUGGAAUCGCUAGUAAUCGCGAAUCAGAAUGUCGCGGUGAAUACGUUCCCGGGUCUUGUACACACCGCCCGUCACACCACGGAAGUUGGGGGCGCCCGAAGCCACUUAGCUAACCCUUUUGGGAAGCGAGUGUCGAAGGUGAAAUCAAUAACUGGGGUGAAGUCGUAACAAGGUAAC
This 213-nucleotide ribosomal RNA is filed under the name uncultured bacterium. RNAcentral's name for it is "partial 16S ribosomal RNA". It matches the Rfam family "Bacterial small subunit ribosomal RNA", at positions 1290 to 1500 of the family's 1533-position model. The record is from RNAcentral.